RNAcentral lists this transfer RNA (65 nucleotides) under Ramulus mikado. RNAcentral describes it as "tRNA-Pro". The record is from RNAcentral. Lineage: Eukaryota; Metazoa; Arthropoda; Insecta; Phasmatodea; Phasmatidae.
CAAAGGGUAGUUUAAUUAAGAUGGUAGUUUUGGGAAUUACUGAUAGAUAUAAAAUCUUCCUUUGA